Molecule: long non-coding RNA, 218 nt
Organism: Trifolium pratense (red clover)
Lineage: Eukaryota; Viridiplantae; Streptophyta; Magnoliopsida; Fabales; Fabaceae
Exons: 3
Source: RefSeq, a predicted model, not a curated record
UGAACCAUUCCCCUUCAUACUAUUCAUCCCAAAAUUCUCAUUUCUUGACCAAAUCAUCUCAUCCAAAGCUAGUUGAAUCCUUGGAACUUGCAAGAGUAACAUCACUAAGGAAACGAGUAACGGUGUUUAAUUGCGCGUUCGAUUGUGUGAUUGGAAACUUUUGCCGAGACGAUGGAGCGCCAUCUGAGACCGUAGGCCGUGUGGACGGCGAGGACUUC